UCACCUGGCACCAGGUCUCUGGCAUAGGCGUGGACACGCACGUCCACCGUAUCUCCAACCGGCUGGGAUGGACGAGAGGUGGGACCAAGAACCCAGAGGAGACACGCAAGGCCCUGGAAGACUGGUUACCAAGGGAUCUAUGGAGUGAGAUCAACUGGUUGCUGGUGGGGUUUGGUCAACAGGUGUGUCUACCUGUCAAUCCUCUCUGCUCUGUGUGUCUGAACCAGCACAGCUGCCCCUCCGCCCAU
This is a long non-coding RNA of Salvelinus fontinalis (brook trout), 248 nucleotides long. RefSeq lists it as uncharacterized. The record is from RefSeq and is a predicted model, not a curated record. The transcript is spliced from 3 exons. NCBI's taxonomy places the organism in Eukaryota, Metazoa, Chordata, Actinopteri, Salmoniformes, Salmonidae.